This is a ribosomal RNA of Desulfonispora thiosulfatigenes DSM 11270, 116 nucleotides long. Lineage: Bacteria; Bacillati; Bacillota; Clostridia; Eubacteriales; Peptococcaceae. The record is from Rfam.
CUCGGUGAUAAUAGCGGAGGGGUCACACCCGUUACCAUUUCGAACACGGUAGUUAAGUCCUCCAGCGCUGAUGGUACUUGGACCAGAGGUCCUGGGAGAGUAGGUCGUCGCCGGGA